UGCCAGCCGCCGCGGUAAUACGGAGGGAGCUAGCGUUGUUCGGAAUUACUGGGCGUAAAGCGUGCGUAGGCGGAUCGACAAGUUGGGGGUGAAAUCCCGGGGCUUAACCCCGGAACUGCCCUCAAAACUGUCGAUCUAGAGACCGGGAGAGGUAAGCGGAAUUCCUAGUGUAGAGGUGAAAUUCGUAGAUAUUAGGAAGAACACCAGUGGCGAAGGCGGCUCACUGGCUCGAUACUGACGCUGAGGCACGAAAGCAUGGGUAUCAAACGGGAUUAGAUA
RNAcentral lists this ribosomal RNA (279 nucleotides) under uncultured bacterium. Its description in RNAcentral is "partial 16S ribosomal RNA". It matches the Rfam family "Bacterial small subunit ribosomal RNA", at positions 506 to 784 of the family's 1533-position model. The record is from RNAcentral.